Molecule: ribosomal RNA, 503 nt
Filed under: uncultured bacterium
Lineage: Bacteria
Description: partial 16S ribosomal RNA
Rfam family: Bacterial small subunit ribosomal RNA
Source: RNAcentral
AUUGAACGCUGGCGGCAGGCUUAACACAUGCAAGUCGAGCGGGGUGAUGGUGCUUGCACUAUCACUUAGCGGCGGACGGGUGAGUAAUGCUUAGGAAUCUGCCUAUUAGUGGGGGACAACAUCUCGAAAGGGAUGCUAAUACCGCAUACGUCCUACGGGAGAAAGCAGGGGAUCACUUGUGACCUUGCGCUAAUAGAUGAGCCUAAGUCGGAUUAGCUAGUUGGUGGGGUAAAGGCCUACCAAGGCGACGAUCUGUAGCGGGUCUGGGAGGAGAGUCAACCACACUGGGACUGAGACACGGCCCAGACUCCUACGGGAGGCAGCAGUGGGGAAGAUUGGAAAAUGGGGGGAACCCUGAUCCAGCAAUGCCGCGUGUGUGAAGAAGGCCUUAUGGUUGUAAAGCACUUUAAGCGAGGAGGAGGCUCUUUUGGUUAAUACCCAAGAUGAGUGGACGUUACCCGCAGAAUAAGCACCGGCUAGCUCUGUGCCAGCAGCCGCCGUAA